GUUACGUAAGGAUCUAGUGUCAUGGCGGUCUAAAAUUACGAGAAACUUUUACAGCGAAUUUGAAUUUCUUUUCGAUAUUCAAGGGUUAGAUUAUGUUGCGAAGCACCAAAUACAGGAUUUUUGCUUUUCAUUUUUCAAGAUAUGUUGUCGUUCGCCAAACAAGAAGACUUCUUCAAUAUAGAUCAAGCACAUCUUUGUCAAGAAAAAGCGUCUUUACCUCGUGCAUCUUUCCUUGUUCAUAUCAUUUCAGUACCCGCCGCUUUAUUGAAACUCCGAAACACUGCUCUCAGUUUUGUACACAUUUGAAAUCACCAGUUUCUUUUUCAAGGCCUGUGGCUGCAGCAUGCACAAAUCUAUACACUGAUCACAACAGAUCUUUUCAUUCGUCUUGUAUCAUAUAUUCAAAAUCUUUGGAUCAUUCGGAUGGAAGCUCUGAUAAAAACGUUAAAAAAUCUGGAUCGACAAGGAAUCCUUCCAAGCAAGGCUCUAGAGGCUCGCAAUCUUCGAGGAACACUCAGAAGCUUGGUUCCAGUUCCAAGGAAAGAGCAGUACCAACAUCAAGAGUUAGCAGAAUAUUAAACUUUAGUGGGCUUAUUGCAAGUGUUGGUAUGGGAGCUCUGAAUGAAGUCACCAAAAGACAGCUUGGUCUUGAAAACAAAGGAGAUACAUUGUCACAGCGAACUGGAAGUGCAUUUUUAACUGAGGCUAACCUGGAGAAAAUUGUUAGCACAUUAUGCCGCAUGAGAGGUGCUGCAUUAAAAUUAGGACAAAUGUUGAGUAUACAAGACAAUACAUUUGUUCCUCCUGAACUACAGAGAAUAUUUGAAAGAGUUCGUAAUAGUGCUGACUUUAUGCCAAAAUGGCAGUUAGAGAAAGUGAUGAAGAAUGAAUUUGGUAAUGACUGGAAGAGCAAGCUUGCAGAAUUUGAUGAAAAGCCUUUUGCUGCAGCCUCUAUUGGCCAAGUCCACAGAGGCGUGCUGCACGAUGGUAGACAAGUUGCAAUUAAAAUUCAGUACCCUGGUGUAGCCCAAAGCAUCGAUAGUGAUAUUGAUAAUCUAAUGACAGUUCUCAAAAUGACAAAACUAGCCCCUGAAGAACUUUAUGCUGAAAGUGCAAUAGCAGUAGCUCGAAGGGAACUGGCUUGGGAGGUUGACUACAUUAGAGAAGCUAACAACAGCAAACGAUUUAGAAAGCUGUUAGAAAAUGAUUCCAAGUUCUAUGUUCCAGAAGUUAUUGAUGAACUCUCAUCAAAACAGGUGCUAACAACAGAGUUGAUUGAGGGUAAACCUUUAGACAAGAUUGCUGACCUUGGCCAGGAUGUUGUUAAUGAGGUUUGCUGUAGGAUAUUGCAUUUGUGUCUAAAGGAACUAUUUGUCUAUCAUUUUAUGCAAACUGACCCAAAUUGGUCUAACUUUUUCUAUAAUCCAGAAACAAAAAAAAUAUAUUUACUAGACUUUGGUGCCUGCCGUGAGUAUUCCAAGAAAUUUGUGGACAAAUAUAUCAAGAUUAUCAAAGGAGGUGCAUUAGGUGAUCAUAAGAUGGUUAUUGACAAUUCUAUAGCCCUGUCAUUCCUCACAGGAUAUGAAUCAAAGGUUAUGACAAAAACUCACACUGAAGCAGUAAUGAUCUUAGGAGAACCAUUCUCUCACUCAGGAGCUUUUGACUUUGGGAAUCAAGACACUUCUCGCAGAAUAAUGGACCUUAUUCCUGUUAUGCUCCGACAUCGCCUCACCCCUCCCCCUGAAGAAGCUUAUUCUUUGCAUAGAAAGAUGUCAGGCUCAUUUCUGCUCUGUGCCAAACUUGGGGCUAGGAUUGAGUGCAAAAGUCUAUUUGACAAAAUAUGGCAGAACUAUGUCUUUGGUUGACAUGUUAUAAACACUGGAAAACGCUUUCCUAAAACUUCGUAAAGCUUGGUCAAGGUCCAAUAUAACAGAAUGGUUAGAACAAAACAAACUUAACCCGUGAAGUCAGUGUUGGAGUCAAACAGCUAAAAGAAGUGUUUUUCUGUAAUAAAAACGUGCUUAAUA
RNAcentral lists this unclassified non-coding RNA (2027 nucleotides) under Actinia tenebrosa (Australian red waratah sea anemone). RNAcentral's name for it is "atypical kinase COQ8B, mitochondrial-like, transcript variant X1". The record is from RNAcentral. Lineage: Eukaryota; Metazoa; Cnidaria; Anthozoa; Actiniaria; Actiniidae.